This 504-nucleotide ribosomal RNA is filed under the name uncultured bacterium. Its description in RNAcentral is "partial 16S ribosomal RNA". It matches the Rfam family "Bacterial small subunit ribosomal RNA", at positions 30 to 523 of the family's 1533-position model. The record is from RNAcentral.
AUUGAACGCUGGCGGCAGGCCUAACACAUGCAAGUCGAACGGUAGCACAGAGAGCUUGCUCUCGGGUGACGAGUGGCGGACGGGUGAGUAAUGUCUGGGAAACUGCCCGAUGGAGGGGGAUAACUACUGGAAAAGGUAGCUAAUACCGCAUAAUGUCGCAAGACCAAAGAGGGGGACCUUCGGGCCUCUUGCCAUCGGAUGUGCCCAGAUGGGAUUAGCUAGUUGGUGAGGUAAGGGCUCACCAAGGCGACGAUCCCUAGCUGGUCUGAGAGGAUGACCAGCCACACUGGAACUGAGACACGGUCCAGACUCCUACGGGAGGCAGCAGUGGGGAAUAUUGCACAAUGGGCGCAAGCCUGAUGCAGCCAUGCCGCGUAUAUGAGGAAGGCCUUCGGGUUGUAAAGUACUUUCAGCGGGGAGGAAGGCGAUACGGUUAAUAACCGUGUUGAUUGACGUUACCCGCAGAAGAAGCACCGGCUAACUCCGUGCCAGCCGCCGCCGUAA